RNAcentral lists this ribosomal RNA (163 nucleotides) under Korshinskia olgae. RNAcentral describes it as "Korshinskya olgae 5.8S ribosomal RNA". It matches the Rfam family "5.8S ribosomal RNA". From Rfam's summary of the family: 5.8S ribosomal RNA (5.8S rRNA) is a component of the large subunit of the eukaryotic ribosome. It is transcribed by RNA polymerase I as part of the 45S precursor that also contains 18S and 28S rRNA. The record is from RNAcentral. Lineage: Eukaryota; Viridiplantae; Streptophyta; Magnoliopsida; Apiales; Apiaceae.
AAACGACUCUCGGCAACGGAUAUCCCGGCUCUCGCAUCGAUGAAGAACGUAGCGAAAUGCGAUACUUGGUGUGAAUUGCAGAAUCCCGUGAACCAUCGAGUCUUUGAACGCAAGUUGCGCCCGAGGCCACUAGGUUGAGGGCACGUCUGCCUGGGUGUCACGC